This 420-nucleotide ribosomal RNA is filed under the name uncultured bacterium. RNAcentral describes it as "bacterial SSU rRNA". It matches the Rfam family "Bacterial small subunit ribosomal RNA", at positions 355 to 772 of the family's 1533-position model. The record is from RNAcentral.
UGAGGAAUAUUGGGCAAUGCCCGCAAGGGUGACCCAGCAACGCCGCGUGGAGGAUGAAUGUCGUAAGAUUGUAAACUCCUGUUAGAGGGGAAGAAUAGUACCGGUUGGACCGGUAUAUGACUGUACCCUCAGAGAAAGCCCCGGCUAACUACGUGCCAGCAGCCGCGGUAAUACGUAGGGGGCAAGCGCUGUCCGGAUUUACUGGGUGUAAAGGGCGCGCAGGCGGGAUAAAAAGUCAGUGGUGAAAUCCUACAGCUUAACUGUAGAACUGCCUUUGAUACUUUUAUUCUUGAGUUCGGGAGAGAGAGACGGAAUUCCAGGUGUAGUGGUGAAAUACGUAGAUAUCUGGAAGAACACCAGUUGCGAAGGCGGUCUCUUGGUCCGACACUGACGCUGAGGCGCGAAAGCGUGGGGAGCAAA